Long non-coding RNA from Podarcis raffonei (Aeolian wall lizard), 4692 nucleotides. RefSeq lists it as uncharacterized. The transcript has 6 exons. Lineage: Eukaryota; Metazoa; Chordata; Lepidosauria; Squamata; Lacertidae. The record is from RefSeq and is a predicted model, not a curated record.
AACUGAAUGAUGAAUGUCAUCUAUAAGGUCUUCAAAUGGACACAGAAAAUUUAACCUCUUCCAGGCCACCUUUUCCUAACAAUAUUUUCGUGCUGCUGGUUUGUACUGAACUCCCAUUACGACGGUUUGAAGCGACGCAUCUUAAAGCGCCUUCUUGUUUUUCCCUGCCAUAUGAGAAUUGUGUGCUAGAAAGCUGCCUUUAAAUAACAUUUUAAUAUGUUUUUUAUGAAAACGGUAGUAAGCAAUCAUUAUUUAUAAUUCAAUACAUUAUACAAAUGAUAUUAAAUAUUCAACAGUUCUUGUUUUUAAUUCUGGAACCCCAGAGGUAUUCAUAAACAGGUGUCAAGAAUUAAAUACUCCUAAAUGAAGAAUGUGAGUCUACUAACUUCUGUAGCAAACAAAACCCCUUCACUCUUGUAUUUGCUGAGUCAUGGAGCAAAGCAACUGAGGUAACAAUAUUUGCCAAGUGACUGUAUUUGGCUGUACAGUUAACGGUCAAUUAAUAUUUCAGGUAUAGGGCUUUUAUUUUAUUUUAUUUUACAAACUUAUUUUAUUUUACAAACUUUAUUUUAUGCAGUCAUCCACAUGGCACCAACGCAAACUUGGAAAAUCUUCAACAUUACAGUUUCAGCUCACAUCCGCAAGGUAUACUGGAGAGAUAAUUUAUCCAUAGCGACUGCUGUGAUGGAGACAGAAGACAGAUUGCCAUUAGAUAGCCAUUCAUAAGCCAUAUAAAUUGAGGCCUUUUGGAGUCAAAUCCACCUUUCUUUCUUAUUCCUCUUAUCCCCCUCCGAUAACUGUACAUCCCAAGUAUAAAGGUAAAGGACCCUUGACCGUUAGGUCCAGUCGUGACCGACUCUGGGGUUGCGGCGCUCAUCUUGCUUUAUUGGCCAAGGGAGGCGGCGUACAGCUUCCAGGUCAUGUGGCCAGCAGGACUAAGCUGCUUCUGGCGAACCAGAGCAGCACAUGGAAACACCGUUUACCUUGCCGCUGGAGCGGUACCUAUUUAUCUACUUGCACUUAGUGUUUUCGAACUGCUAGGUUGGCAGGAGCCGGGACCGAGCGACGGGAGCUCACCCCGCCACAGGGAUUCGAACCGCCGACCUUCUGAUCGGCAAGUCCUAGGCUCUGUGGUUUAACCCACAGUGCCACCUGCGUCCCACAUCCCAAGUAUACUUCAGUCAAAUUUGGAGAGAGGCUGGCUCAUUUCUCUGCAUUGCUGCAGCUGGUGUUGAGUUGAAAAUUCCCCUAACACAGAGCCCUCAAAAUGUUGCUGGGUACUCUAACAGCAUGGCCAGUGGUCAGGAAUGAUGGGAGUUGUAGUUUGGCAACAUUUGGAAGGCCACAGAUUCUCCACCCAUGCCCUAAGAGCUUUUCACCCAACCUUUGAGGUGGACAUGCUGCCCCAAGCUCACGUCCCCCCCCCCGUCUCAGUUUUGGGGUGGCAGGGCUUGUCCCCCUGGCAGCAGCGAUGCUACUCUGGCAGAAGGGUGGCAUCACUCCUCCACCCAACAAGAGAUGGUCAGUGAUGGGGUAGCUCUGUUCCCUGGUCAGGGGAAAGUAGAGCUGGAGGAAACUUAGGGCCCAAUCUUCACAGCUACGUUCUUUGGCUGUGAAAGUGAGGAAGGAGGCAAUUUCCGCAAUUUUCAUGAGUGGGCUGGAAAACCAUCACAAUUUUUGAGGUGGUUUCUGAAAGCAGAGAGGCUUGUCUCCCUUUUGGGGGGGGGGGGAGGAAGAAGACUUCUUGUUCUGCAGCAGGUGGCUGUGGUACUCCCAUUUCUCCACCACAAUACCUACGGAAGUAUUUUCUCUUGCCCCCAAAGUUCGCUGCCUUUCCUAGCUCUUUCCAAAAAGCCAGCUGGAACUUGCAGCGCACAGACCUGUGGGCUGGAGAGAGGACAACCAGAUGUCUGAGGUGUAGCUGCCACCUUUUCGUCCCAACCCUGCCACCUUGGAAAGUCACCAAAAUUCUCCCACCCACGUUUUACUGACCUCAAAUGGGGCAAUGGAAUGUGCGGCAUUUGGUUAAUCCUUACAUCCAGACUACAAAUGAUGCAGAAGAUGUGUGAUUCAUAGGACACUUGUUUCUGCAGAACUUCAACAAAUUUUAUUUUUCAUUUUCUUGUCAUGGAGGAGAUGGGUCUGUUCUAUAUUUGCCAGAUGUUUUUGGCCAUGUUUGCAGAAAGUUAAUAUCUAUAUGUCACUUUAAAACCUCAGUUCUCCCAGGAGUUCACUGGAAUCUGUACAAAGCAGCAGGCCGUGGCUGUGUAUGCACAGCUGUUUACUCCAACUCCAUCCCAGUGCUGGUGUUUGAAGCUGAAGGCACAUGGCUUUAGCCACAAUCCACCUGUAUCCUGUCGUUUCUUGAGAAAUGCUGCUAAUUGAUGGGUUUCCUCUCAAACCAGCUUCCAUCUGAGUCAAAAACGUAAGCUAUGGUUAUGCUAAGGUAGGUACAUUUUCGAUGAUCAUUGUGCAUGUUCAGAUUUCGACUUCCUUGAGUAGGAAUUUGGGGAGGGGUGCAGGUGUGAGGAAGCAAAUCAGGUGUUGCGUACAGCAACAUAAAUCUGGGGAGAAACGGCUUUGCUGUGUUUUCAGCUGUCAAUGUGUACAUGCCCUGUACAUUUAAAGCAAAUUUGAGAGCUCAUUCUUUCCGGCAAAGAAAUCUGGGCACUGCAGUUUAUCCCUCGCAGAGUUAUGAUUCCCAGCAACCCUUAACAAACCGCAGUGCCCAGAAUUCAUUGGGGGUGUGUGUGUGAAUGUGCUUCAAAAGGUCUUUAAGGAUACAGUGUGUGUCAGUGCUGACAUGAUAUUGAAAAAGUCUUAACUCUCCACUUGGACCCAGAUGCUGAUUAAAUUACUGUAAAUAUCCGAGUAAUUACACACAUGCACACAGGCACACACACCCCUACUACAUGUCAGUCUGGCCAAUAUUUUGGUAAGAAUGGUAGAGUACAUUAUUUGAAUGCCUAAACCUGUCUAUCAGAGCUAUGAUCCUUGAGAUUGCAAUUGCUUGUCAGUGAAUUUGUGGGCCAGUGGUCUGAUUCAGAACAAGAUGGCUUCAUAUGCUCAUCUGGAUAAACCUUUCUUGCAAUGUGAGUGCAGAACCCAUUAAUGGUAGCCAUUACAUCAAAUGCCACUAUUAGUUCACCCCGCCAUCUCUAGCCUGAAUUCACUUUUACAACAGCAAGAAACCGCCUUGUUUUUUUCUAGCAAGACCAUUCAGAUUCCUAACAUUACAUUUGUGUAUGUGGCACUUCAUAAUCCCCUCUGCUAUUGACUGAUAUAAGUAGCACAGUAUUCUACCACUGAAAUGCUAGUGCUAAAACAAGUGAUUAUAAAAGGUUUCCUUUUUAAAAAACAUUUUUUAUUUAAUCAUCUGUUUAUUUCUUUCAGAGAUAUCUUUCAGCCCGCAGAUCUCAGGUGCCUGCCGGAAGAGUCAAACGAGGUUGUGUCUUGGGGGUGUCCUUGAAGAAAGUACGGGGAAGGCUGCUCUCACAGGAAAUUCAUCACCCAAUUCAACAACUUAUUAUUGGAGGCAGCUGUGAUUGAACCCCUACAAGGAGGGAUGUCAGAACAGAACUGAACUGAAGGGUUCAGCCAGCUUGCUUAUAUAGAGCUCCAGUACAACGUAACUGUAACAACUUUCUGUAACUAUCCAAUCACUGAAUGUCACUUUUGAUCCCUUAUUUGCAUAUGUGGACCUGAACUAUCUUCUACAGUAUCCCUCUGCUGGCCCAGGUCUGCAUGUGCCAUCACUCUGAAUGAUAUAGGACACACACCAUGGUCACUUACUGCUGAUUUUGUUGUCUCCUUGGAUGAACCAAUACAAGUUCCAGUUUCUGGCCACUGCUGUCUACGCCUCUUGCAGUCUGCUUGCGGUGCAUGUAUUCCCUGCUGGAUUCCAAACCUGGUGGUCUUCAUCUAAAUCUUCGCUUAAUUAUUGUCAUCCGAAACCUCUACUGCUGGACUUAAGGGGAUAAGAAAAAAGACAUUUUGAGACUGCUGCUGGAAUUUUGACUGCCUUUAUACCAGCUGUUCCAAGUUGAAGUUCUUCCAGUGGUGGGAAAGGAUACUGCGCUGUUCCCUUCUGGGUAUCUUAAUGGCAUCAGAAACAAAGCAGUUGACUCUGAGCAUUUGUGCUGAAGAACGGAGCUCUUCAUUGUUGAACACUCGUCGAAUGGAACUCGUCUGGAUUGAAACUGAUGAUUCUUUUGGCAGGUCUUAAUGGGUAGACCUUGGAGUCAUGAAGAACAUGUUUAUAUGUUCCAACUAUUCCAUCUCGGACACAUCUGAAUUGCCAUCUUGGCAAGAUGCCAUCCUGGCUUAGCAUUCUGUUUCUCAUAGAAGCAAGCUGGAUACCUCUAAAAAGCCCAUAAUCAUGAUGGCCUCCCCAUGCUGUGAACUAUGGCUUCAGACUUGCUACCAUAGCAUUAUUAAGAACACAAGAAGCGCUAUUCUGGAGCAAAACAAAAGCCAUCUAUUCCAGAUGUCCAUAGGAAGCCCAUAAGAAGGUCAGGAUCGCAGCAUCAUUUGCCUGCAACCUGUGUUCAGAAACACUAUCGGAGCUAAGCAGGUGUGGGCCUGGUCAGCACUCUAGAUGGGAGACCAUAUGUAAGUUACUCUAAGCUUAUCAUGUAAAGAGAUACUAUAUCUCUGUGAGUAGUAAAACAAAUAAAUCCUUAUUAUUCUAAA